UUGAAAGAGGCGCGAGUAUUAUUAGUAAGAAUUAGUUAUUCAGAUUACUGCUAAUUACUGAAAGGACUACUCGCCGAAGUUUAGAAUAAUUAUCUGAAAUUAUUCUAUGCUGGGCUAGUAGAGAAUAUCUACUAGACUGUCACAAGGUUAUCUUGUGGAGUGCUUGU
Molecule: non-coding RNA, 167 nt
Filed under: bovine gut metagenome
Description: Lysine riboswitch
Rfam family: Lysine riboswitch aptamer
About the family: Riboswitches are metabolite binding domains within certain messenger RNAs that serve as precision sensors for their corresponding targets. Allosteric rearrangement of mRNA structure is mediated by ligand binding, and this results in modulation of gene expression.
Source: RNAcentral